CAAACGGCCCUUUUCAGGGCCACAUAAAAUACCAUAAUCGACCCUUU
Molecule: non-coding RNA, 47 nt
Organism: Trachymyrmex cornetzi
Lineage: Eukaryota; Metazoa; Arthropoda; Insecta; Hymenoptera; Formicidae
Source: Rfam